AAGGGUGUAGCUCAGUGGUAGAGCACGUGCUUAGCAUGGACAAGGUUCUGGGUUCAAUCCUCAGUACCUCCA
Molecule: transfer RNA, 72 nt
Filed under: Camelus bactrianus (Bactrian camel)
Lineage: Eukaryota; Metazoa; Chordata; Mammalia; Artiodactyla; Camelidae
Also listed under: 3 other names
Rfam family: tRNA
About the family: Transfer RNA (tRNA) molecules are approximately 80 nucleotides in length. Their secondary structure includes four short double-helical elements and three loops (D, anti-codon, and T loops). Further hydrogen bonds mediate the characteristic L-shaped molecular structure. tRNAs have two regions of fundamental functional importance: the anti-codon, which is responsible for specific mRNA codon recognition, and the 3' end, to which the tRNAs corresponding amino acid is attached (by aminoacyl-tRNA synthetases). tRNAs cope with the degeneracy of the genetic code in two manners: having more than one tRNA (with a specific anti-codon) for a particular amino acid; and 'wobble' base-pairing, i.e. permitting non-standard base-pairing at the 3rd anti-codon position.
Source: Rfam by way of RNAcentral